Molecule: ribosomal RNA, 253 nt
Filed under: uncultured bacterium
Lineage: Bacteria
Description: partial 16S ribosomal RNA
Rfam family: Bacterial small subunit ribosomal RNA
Source: RNAcentral
UACGGAGGGAGCUAGCGUUGUUCGGAAUUACUGGGCGUAAAGCGUGCGUAGGCGGCUUUGUAAGUUAGAGGUGAAAGCCCGGAGCUCAACUCCGGAAUUGCCUUUAAGACUGCAUCGCUUGAAUCCGGGAGAGGUGAGUGGAAUUCCGAGUGUAGAGGUGAAAUUCGUAGAUAUUCGGAAGAACACCAGUGGCGAAGGCGGCUCACUGGACCGGCAUUGACGCUGAAGCACGAAAGCGUGGGGAGCAAACAGG